CCCAACCUCAAAUAUGAAUUAAAAAAUAAAUACCUACCCCUGGCCAAAAACGUUACAAAAGGAUACCAUUCAGUUGUCACACAUGUCCCUAACCACUUCUGUGACACGAAUUUGAUAUAACUGCUUGUGCAAUUUUCUGCAGUCUAAAGUUUCAUGUUGUCUGCACAUGUACUUUCUUUGGAGACACCAUUUGCCUCCUGACAAAUCGGAAAAUGAUCAAAAUAGUGACUCUGAUUGGUUUACGUAUUGUAUAUUAACGCAUGACUGUUGACAUUGCUUUUUAGUCUUUGGAAAUGACAAUAAUUUUUUUAUUACCCAACCCUUGAGUUGUUUUGUUUUUCAUUUACCCAACCUUUUACUUACUCAAAAUUUUGUUUACCCAACCCUUUUCUCUUCGGUGCCACCCACCAUAAAUAAUGACUGGUCCCUUAGGCUAACAAAAUCUAUACAGUACUUCUGUUUCAGGCCAAUUUGCCUGUCCAAAAUUGGCGGCUUAAAAUAAAGCCAUGCAUUGGUGUUAUUCCAACAGACUACAAA
This is a non-coding RNA of Paramuricea clavata, 537 nucleotides long. NCBI's taxonomy places the organism in Eukaryota, Metazoa, Cnidaria, Anthozoa, Malacalcyonacea, Plexauridae. The record is from the annotation of a GenBank genome assembly.